Non-coding RNA from Podarcis lilfordi (Lilford's wall lizard), 2114 nucleotides. Lineage: Eukaryota; Metazoa; Chordata; Lepidosauria; Squamata; Lacertidae. The record is from the annotation of a GenBank genome assembly.
UGCAACUGUUGAACAUGGAUAAGUAGUAUGAAGUGGUCUGGCAGACAAAACUUUGUUGGAAAAGCUAGCAUGGAAAUUGCAUAGAGGCCAAAAGAAAAACGAUAACUUCUAUGCAGUAUGGGGCAAUUUUAUUGAACACACAGGUAGUGAGGCACAUGGGGGAUUAGUGCUUGGGGUGGGUAACAUAGUUUGGAAUACUUGAAAUAUACAUUUUAACCUUUCCAAUUGCUGCAGAUAUAAUGUAUUCCUUCCAUUUAAUGAGAUUGGAGCAGAUGACGUGUUAUUUUCUGGUUUUUAAGAUUAUGAGAAUGUUCGAAUUAUAUGCUGCGGCAAAGAAACUAUUUUUAAAUGGGGGGGAACCUACCUUCCCUUUAACACCAAUGAUCUGGUGGUAGUUUUCUGAACCCUGGGUGAUUUUUUUUAAAUGAAUAGGGUUAAAGAAAGAUAGAAGUGGAGAAGAUAAAGGUGGCUUCUGUUGAAGGCUCAAUGGAUACUUAAUUGGCGGCUUUUCCAAAUGAUGAGGGACAUAUAAGAAGUCCUUUAACUUGGACUGAGGAGGACACACAACAAAAAGGACAGUUGGAGGGGAGGACUUCCUGCAUGAAAGGCAGGGUAGAAAGUAUCUUCCAGGGUGAGAGACUGGGAGACGUAGACUCCCAGGUGGGAGAUGGGAAGAUCUAUUUCUGUAUGUGGAUAAAUGUAUGAUAUAAAUAUGGUAAAGGGCCCUACAUGUAAUAGUAAUAAUAAUAAUAACCCACCCAUCUGGCUGGGUUUCCCCAGCUACUCUGGGCAACUCCCAACAGAAUAUUAAAAACGAUAAAACAUCAAACAUUUAAAACUUCCCUAAACAGGGUUGCCUUCAGAUGUCUUCUAAAAGUCAGAUAGUUGUUUAUUUCCAUGACAUCUGAUGGGAGGGCGUUCCACAGGGCGGGCGCCACUACCGAGAAGGCCCUCUGCCUAGUUCCCUGUAACUUCGCUUCUCGCAGGGAGGGAACCACCAGAAGGCCCUCGGCUCUGGAUCUCAGUGUCCGGGCUGAACAAUGGGGAUGGAGACACCCCUUCAGGUAUACUGGGCCGAGGCCGUUUAGGGCUUUAAAGGUCAGCACCAAUACUUUGAAUUAUGCUUGGAAACGUACUGGGAGCCAUAUAGGUCUUUCAGGACCGGUGUUAUAUGGUCUCUCUCUCUCUCUCUCUCUCUCUCUCUCGUUACGUUUUUUUUUUUUUAAAUAUUCUCAUUCUGUAGUCUAGUUUGAUUCUUAUUGUAUUUUAUCUCAAAAACUGUCAGUAACAAAUAUUUAAAAACGAAAAACAAUGGACACCUUCAUUCACCAAAGCUCCAACCUCCCCAGUGUGCUUUCCCACUUUGGCACCCUAGAUUAAAAGUAGUCAAAUUGCAACGCUCACCAUAAAAUUCUGCAGUAACUAACUCUUUGCUUCCCUUUAGUGGUGCUCUGAUUGUAACGCUGUAUGAGACUGCCCCACUUGGCCUAAUGGUGAGGCCAGUCAUGUAUCCAGUCUUUGCCGAAGUGCCAGAAUUUGACAGGUCCUUCCUUACCUGGAGUAAGUGCUUACCCCGUUAUGUACUUCUCACCUUUAGCCUGACCUACACUCCAACCAGAUGUAGCACAAAAUUAUCCUUUGCACUCACACACUGAAUCUGGAAGCCGUCUUUUUCUGGCUUUAAAGUAACGCCAGAGUUAUUGGAGGUGAAGCAUUCUCAAGCAAAGCACUCAAAUAUGACUUGCAAAUGAUAUACUGUAUUUUUCGCUCUAUAGGACGCACCUUUUCCCCUCCAAAAAUUAAGGGGAAAUGUGUAUGCGUCCUAUAGAGCGAAUGCAGGCUGCGCGGCUAAGCCCAAAGCCAGAACAGAAAGACGGAGCGCUGCUCAGCCUUUGCGCUGCUCCCCGACCUGGUCUUUGAGGCUGGCGGUGGGGGAAAGCAGCGCUUCUCCCCACUGCCAGCCCCACAAGCUCGGGGGGCAGCAGGAAGGCGGCGCGCUGCCUUUGUGCUGCUCCCUGACUUGGUCUUUGGGGCUGGCGGUGGGGAAAAGUAGCGCUUCCCCCCACCGCCAGCCCCACAAGCCUUCCCGUGCGCUGCCUUCCCACUGCUCCCCG